AACAUCCAACAAGAACGGUGCACUUACUAUAUAUGGCAUAUGAUGAUCUCAAAAUGGCAUAAAGGGAGACGAGAAAUCAGUAGCAAUGCUUUGUUCUAAAGUGAAUUCUUUAUAAUAACUUGAAAACAAAUACAGUUGCAAAUGUCUCUAAUGGUUCUACAACAAUCUUCAUGCAGAAGAGGUAAGUAGGCCAUUAUGCCUAAGCAGCGGUUCUGGAGAAGGUUCCCGUCCUCUAAAUUGCACGAAAACCUCCAGUGGAGCCUUUCCACCGCCAAGAGCAAGAACAGUCUCCCUGAAUCUCUGGCCUGUUUCUUUUACAGCCUUCUCAUUCUCUAGUCCAACAUCUUCAAAAGCAGAGAAAGCAUCUGCAGACAAAACCUCUGCCCACUUGUAACUGUAGUAUCCAGCAGCAUAUCCACCAGCAAAAAUGUGACUGAAACUGGCAAGGAACUUAUCGUCUGGGAGUGGAGGAAGCACUUGGGUUUUCUUAGAGACCCGUCGGUCAACACAAUAGAUUGAUUCCGAACCACCCGGAACAUAUUUUGCAUGUAACUCAAGAUCAACUGUAGCAAAUCUCAACUGCCGAAGACUUAAGGUACCAGCACGGAAAGUUUUAGCAGCAAGAAGCUUCUUGUAUAUGUCUUCUGGGAGUGUCUCUCCAGUUUCAUGAUGCUUAGCAAUACCCAUCAGAGUAUCCCUGUGAUAGCACCAAUUCUCCAUGAAUUGUGAUGGCAAUUCCACAGCAUCCCACUCUACACCCCUUAUGCCAGCAACCAAACCCUCAUCCUGCUUAGUUAGCAUAUGCUGAAGGGCAUGUCCAAAUUCAUGGAAGACAGUCUCA
This 841-nucleotide unclassified non-coding RNA is filed under the name Hevea brasiliensis (rubber tree). The record is from RNAcentral. Lineage: Eukaryota; Viridiplantae; Streptophyta; Magnoliopsida; Malpighiales; Euphorbiaceae.